Molecule: long non-coding RNA, 170 nt
Filed under: Chinchilla lanigera (long-tailed chinchilla)
Lineage: Eukaryota; Metazoa; Chordata; Mammalia; Rodentia; Chinchillidae
Description: lncRNA (ENSCLAG00000023459.1)
Source: RNAcentral
GGGGCAGAAGGCAGGUCUCCUUCCUCUCUCCUAGUCCCUGAGAGCCAAGAGGAGGUGGUCUCAGGAGUGCGCCUCUGCUGGUUUCCCAAGACUUUGGAUUCCGGCACUCAGCAAGACGCAGACGGAACACGCUGGGGUUGAAAACGGCUCUGAAUAGUCACAGAUCACAA